RNAcentral lists this transfer RNA (71 nucleotides) under Schizophyllum commune. Its description in RNAcentral is "tRNA-Arg". It matches the Rfam family "tRNA". Rfam says of the family: Transfer RNA (tRNA) molecules are approximately 80 nucleotides in length. Their secondary structure includes four short double-helical elements and three loops (D, anti-codon, and T loops). The record is from RNAcentral. RNAcentral also lists the same sequence under 1 other name. Lineage: Eukaryota; Fungi; Basidiomycota; Agaricomycetes; Agaricales; Schizophyllaceae.
GUCGUCUUAGUUUAAUGGCAGAACAACAUUCUUCUAAAGUGUAAAUUUUGGUUCAAUUCCAAAAGAUGAUA